CGCAGUAGGAUAGGCGAAGCGUGCGAUUGGAUUGCACGUCUAAGCAGUAAGGCUGAGUAUUAGGCAAAUCCGGUACUCAUUAAGGCUGAGCUGUGAUGGGGAGAAGACAUUGUGUCUUCGAGUCGUUGAUUUCACACUGCCGAGAAAAGCCUCUAGAUAGAAAAUAGGUGCCCGUACCGCAAACCGACACAGGUAGUCAAGAUGAGAAUUCUAAGGUGAGCGAGCGAACUCUCGUUAAGGAACUCGGCAAAAUGACCCCGUAACUUCGGGAGAAGGGGUGCUCUUUAGGGUUAACGCCCAGAAGAGCCGCAGUGAAUAGGCCCAAGCGACUGUUUAUCAAAAACACAGGUCUCUGCUAAACCGUAAGGUGAUGUAUAGGGGCUGACGCCUGCCCGGUGCUGGAAGGUUAAGAGGAGUGGUUAGCUUCUGCGAAGCUACGAAUCGAAGCCCCAGUAAACGGCGGCCGUAACUAUAACGGUCCUAAGGUAGCGAAAUUCCUUGUCGGGUAAGUUCCGACCCGCACGAAAGGCGUAACGAUUUGGGCACUGUCUCAACGAGAGACUCGGUGAAAUCAUAGUACCUGUGAAGAUGCAGGUUACCCGCGACAGGACGGAAAGACCCCGUGGAGCUUUACUGUAGCCUGAUAUUGAAAUUCGGCACAGCUUGUACAGGAUAGGUAGGAGCCUUUGAAACGUGAGCGCUAGCUUACGUGG
This 713-nucleotide ribosomal RNA is filed under the name Staphylococcus aureus. RNAcentral describes it as "partial 23S ribosomal RNA". It matches the Rfam family "Bacterial large subunit ribosomal RNA", at positions 1473 to 2183 of the family's 2925-position model. Lineage: Bacteria; Bacillati; Bacillota; Bacilli; Caryophanales; Staphylococcaceae. The record is from RNAcentral.